CCUACGGGAGGCAGCAGUGGGGAAUAUUGCACAAUGGGGGAAACCCUGAUGCAGCGACGCCGCGUGAGUGAAGAAGUAUUUCGGUACGUAAAGCUCUAUCAGCAGGGAAGAAAAUGACGGUACCUGACUAAGAAGCCCCGGCUAACGACGUGCCAGCAGCCGCGGGAAAACGUAGGGGGCAAGCGUUAUCCGGAUUUACUGGGGGUAAAGGGAGCGUAGACGGCAGCGCAAGUCUGGAGUGAAAUCCCAGGGCGUAACCAUGGAACUGCUUUGGAAACUGUGCAGCUAGAGUGCAGGAGAGGUAAGCGGAAUUCCUAGUGUAGCGGUGAAAUGCGUAGAUAUUAGGAGGAACACCAGUGGCGAAGGCGGCUUACUGGACUGUAACUGACGUUGAGGCUCGAAAGCGUGGGGAGCAAACAGGAUUAGAUACCCGAGUAGUC
Molecule: ribosomal RNA, 440 nt
Filed under: uncultured bacterium
Lineage: Bacteria
Description: partial 16S ribosomal RNA
Rfam family: Bacterial small subunit ribosomal RNA
Source: RNAcentral